RNAcentral lists this non-coding RNA (24 nucleotides) under Cricetulus griseus (Chinese hamster). Lineage: Eukaryota; Metazoa; Chordata; Mammalia; Rodentia; Cricetidae. The record is from RNAcentral.
CUAAACUGGGCUGAAGUAGAAUGC